AGUCGUAACAAGGUCUCCGUUGGUGAACCAGCGGAGGGAUCAUUACCGAGUUUACAACUCCCAAACCCCUGUGAACAUACCAAUUGUUGCCUCGGCGGAUCAGCCCGCUCCCGGUAAAACGGGACGGCCCGCCAGAGGACCCCUAAACUCUGUUUCUAUAUGUAACUUCUGAGUAAAACCAUAGAUAAAUCAAAACUUUCAACAACGGAUCUCUUGGUUCUGGCAUCGAUGAAGAACGCAGCAAAAUGCGAUAAGUAAUGUGAAUUGCAGAAUUCAGUGAAUCAUCGAAUCUUUGAACGCACAUUGCGCCCGCCAGUAUUCUGGCGGGCAUGCCUGUUCGAGCGUCAUUUCAACCCUCAAGCCCAGCUUGGUGUUGGGACUCGCGAGUCAAAUCGCGUUCCCCAAAUUGAUUGGCGGUCACGUCGAGCUUCCAUAGCGUAGUAGUAAAACCCUCGUUACUGGUAAUCGUCGCGGCCACGCCGUUAAACCCCAACUUCUGAAUGUUGACCUCGGAUCAGGUAGGAAUACCCGCUGAACUUAAGCA
Molecule: ribosomal RNA, 544 nt
Filed under: uncultured fungus
Lineage: Eukaryota; Fungi
Description: eukaryotic LSU rRNA
Rfam family: 5.8S ribosomal RNA (bases 194-347)
Source: RNAcentral